This is a non-coding RNA of Doryrhamphus excisus (bluestripe pipefish), 5192 nucleotides long. The record is from RefSeq and is a predicted model, not a curated record. Lineage: Eukaryota; Metazoa; Chordata; Actinopteri; Syngnathiformes; Syngnathidae.
AUUGUGUAUGCAGCGUGUGACGUCAUGUUGUACUGUUUCAUUAUUUAUAUCAAGUGGCUGUGAGGGGAGAUUCCGUGGGGGGCGUAACCAACCCGGGAUUUCCAAAUUUAAAAAAAACAAUGACGUCAGAGAGGCAGGGAGGAAGAGGAGACAGCUCCGCAGAAAAAGCGCUGUGCCUCAUCAUCAUCAUCAUCAUCAUCCUCCUCAACUGUUUGAAGGUGCAGCGAAUCUCACGAGGAAGCAUCAGUCCGCUUCCGGCUCGUGUUCCCGCCGCUUUAGCAAAGCAACCAGCGGGAAGGAGCCAGCAUUCAAGCUGCAGAAGCUGCAGCAUGAGCCGGUCAGUGCGUCAGCAGACCCCCGCUGUCUGCUCCGGAGCUCCUGGUUGUUGUCGGGACAGUGCGGGUCCUUCGCAGCAUAGAACCAAGCAACAUCUGGAGGGGGUGCUGAAGAAAUACACCAAUAUAUUCCAGGGCUGGCAGGACAGGUAUUUCGUUCUUGACCCCGACGUUGGCCAGCUUGACUAUUAUCGAAAUGAACACAGCAAAAGCCAACAACUUUGUAGAGGGUCCAUGCCUCUACUGGGAGUGUUGGUGGUCUCCUGUAAAGACUUCCCUUACAUGUUUGCUCUUCAGUCCUCAACUGGCCAGUCCUAUAAACUCAGAGCAUCCAGUGCUGAUGAACAGGAAUUAUGGAUGACUCAGCUCCAGCUGUGUUCUCGAUGCCACUCUGACAAUGGUGCUAAGGUGAUGAACGAGGCACAAGGGGAACCCAAGAGCCUGGUCCACUCGAAUGAAACUCUGCCCCCAAGAGUUGGACCCCUCUGCUCUCUGAAUGAGGAGAUCCUCCUUUUUAAAGCCACUUCCGCAGCCACUUUGAGUUGCUUGGGAGAGUGCUUCACUUUGCUACACCACAAUGUUGUCCGCUCCCACAACCAGAACCAGAAUCACCGUUCAGUGGGUGCAACGGAGACAGCCUCGGCAGACAGACUCAAGUCCUGGAAUAAGCACUGCAGCUCCAGUGUGAAUGAGGUGGAACCUGGUAGCCGCAAGUCCAGCAGCCAAAGCCCGAGUCACUCGGUUAGUGAGAACCAAAGUCCCAAACGCUGCAGCUUUGCUGGAAAAGAAGAAAAGGACUACAACCACAUCCAGAGUCAUGCAGAGAGUUCAGUUGGAUGGUUCAAAUCUCCUAAGAAGCAGACGACCAACGAUGCAUCCCAACCGCUCACGUACAACAACCAAGCUGAGCAGCAGACCAACAGUCCGGACGAUGUGGAUCCCAGUGACGAGACCACAGACACAGAGGACAACGACGAGGAGGACCUGGGUGUUCUUGAUGAACAGCGAAGCAUCAUCCGCCAUCUCCUCUCCCAACUCAAGCUUGGCAUGGACCUCACAAAGGUGGUGCUCCCUACGUUCAUACUAGAGAAGCGCUCCCUGCUGGAGAUGUAUGCUAACUUCAUGGCUCACCCCGACAUGUUUCUCUCAAUCACCGUUGGUUGCACGCCGGAGGAGCGCAUCGUCCGCUUUGUUGAGUACUAUCUCACUGCCUUCCAUGAGGGCCGCAAAGGGGCGGUGGCCAAAAAGCCCUACAACCCCAUCCUGGGCGAGACCUUCCACUGCUCUUGGCAUGUUCCUCAGGACCGCGUUCGCUCUCUCAGAGCUGCUAGUCGUACGGCUCCCGUCUCGGCAACAACGUCAAACUUCUCACAAAAGGCGCCAGGCGGUUGCGGCGGAACAAACACUGACUUUUAUCAGGUUCGGUUUGUGGCUGAGCAGGUGUCCCACCACCCACCUGUAUCAGGCUUUUACUGUGAGUGCAGGGAGAAGAGGAUGUGUGUUAAUACUUACGUCUGGACCAAGAGCAAGUUCAUGGGCAUGUCUGUUGGAGUUUCAAUGGUCGGACAAGGUGUUCUGCAUCUGUCAGAGCAUGAUGAAGACUACGUGUUCACACUGCCUUGUGCCCACGCUCGUUCUAUUCUGGCUGUGCCCUGGGUGGAGCUUGGGGGAAAGGUCACAAUCAGUUGUGCCAAAACAGGCUACUCAGCCACAGUCAUCUUUCACACCAAACCUUUCUACGGAGGGAAAGUCCACAGAGUAACAGCUGAAGUAAAGCACAAUCAGACAGGAAACAUUGUGUGUAAAGCGCAGGGUGAGUGGAACGGGGUCCUGGAGUUUACUUACGGAAAUGGAGAAAACAAGACGAUUGAUACCUCAAAACUCCCGGUCAUCAAAAAGAAGAUCAGACCAGUAGAGAAGCAGGAACAGAAUGAGUCACGGCGCCUUUGGCAGCACGUGACGGCAUCUCUUCGGGCAGGAAACAUGGAUGAAGCCACGGAACACAAACACCGCCUUGAAGAGAGACAGCGGAGCUCAGGCAAACAGAGAGCUGCCAGCAAAACUCCUUGGAAGCCCAAAUAUUUCAUCAAAGAGGUGAGGAAGAAACAAUGAACCCAGGAAGGAAGUUCCUGUCAAGCUUAAAACUAUCGAAAUACAGCAUAAAAAACUAAUUGAACCCUGGUGUCCAAGCUGUGAGGUCUGCGUGCUAACCACUCGACCGCCGUGCAGCCCAAUUUAUGGAUAUAAAACCAUAAAACUUUGCUGGAUGUUUCAAUAGCGGGCAUUGUAGCCAGAAUAGGUGUGUCCCAUUAUGUGCAUUAACGAGCUGCCUCGUUAUCUUUUUUUUAUAUCAUUAGAAAAGAAAAAGACAUGCGUGUUUAUGGCUCAUAGAAUAGAAUAAUAUAGUAUACCUUUAUUGUUAUAGUACACGCUUUGCCACUAUACAUUUCUAGAUGUUGGCAGGGCUGCACUAAAAUGGCGCCCCAGACAGUUCCCCGUGCCACCCCGCAAGGACCCACCCCACAAUUUGAGAAGCACUGCUUUAGUGCAUCUUCAGUGCACUUAUGGAUCCACAAUAAAGAUUGUAGAUGAUGGACAAAAUUCCAAAAAAGGUGCAAUUUUUUUUUUGACCUCACCUUGAGUUGAAGUUUUAGAUUAACUUCUUAAAGUCUGGUCUUAAAAGACUUACUAGUGUUUUUAGGUCCGCCCCCCCUAUUUUUUUGGGUUAAUGUCGAUGUCGAAUUCACACCAUAAUUUUAACUUGGUGACGACCUCAAUUCGAGAUGUUGUGGAUCGGUGAAAGGAAUACUUACAAAUACAAAGACCUUCAAUCCCAUCGAUACGUCUUCCAAUGAGGAAGCAGUGCCUGGGACACCACAGUGGGCUCUUCAGAUGCUGAAGUUGUCAAAAAGCUCCUCGGUGGAUGAGAUCCGCCCAGAGUUCCUUAAGGCCCUGUGGGCGUGUCUUGGUUGACAUGGCUCUGCAGCAUCGUGUGGACAUCGGGGGCCGUACCUCUGGAUUAGCGGAUCGGGUGAUGGUCCUCCUUUUUUAGGGGGACCGAAGGAAGGGUGUGUUCCAACUAUCGUGGAAUCACACUCCUCAGCCUCCCUGGUAAGGUCUAUUCAGGGGAUCCGUCGGGUAGUUGAAUCUUGGAAACGGAAAUAAUCUGAUCAGGUUCUAACUUUUUGGGGGGGCGUCGCAGACAUCAAAGACACCAGAGUACUCUCUGGUCAAUUUAAUAAUAAUAAACAUGAAUGUGAAUCUAUGAAGUGAAAGGGCACCAAAAAAAACCCACCAAAAUCUACAACACCAUGGCAAAUACGGCUAUUAUUUACUAGAACUUCCUGUAUACAAGGCUAGAUGGAUUGGAUCAGGACUGCAGCCGCAACGGAUCCAGUGUGAGCCCGGGGUAAAAACCAUUUGAUUUGGCCACAUGCAAUGUUGUUGCGAUCUCGGAUGGGUUUGUUUUGUUUUUUUUCAGCCUCCAUGGUUUGCUCCUUAAAAAUAUAAUACAGUAUCAUCAGUGUUUUGUUUUGUUUGUUCAAUGACUGUUGUAACUCCCUCGGAUGUGCAACGAUCAGACAGCAACUAGUUCUUGUGUUUUACUCGUGGAUUUAUUGCAAAAACAACGGGAGAACUAAAAGGGUGUUCAAACGGAUACAUUCAUUCAUUUUCUACCGCUUACAAAAUACAAUAAAUUACUGGUCACAUAAUACACAAGUAUACAAUAACAUUAUGUCUACAAAUUCGUUUUCUUAUCAUUAAACUCUUUCUUUACAAUAGUGCAAAAAAACUUGCCACAUCACAUACAUCACAUACACAUGUGCAACACACUCAUUAGCAUUAACAUUAGCUGGCACAACAAACUGUAAACUAAGACACUAAGAGACUGAAACGGAAAUAAAACAAUGCACAUAUACUGCACCUUAAUGGCUGCACACAUACCUUAGUGCGGAAUUAGAGAGAUGAUCUUUGACUUUUAGCACCUGUUAGCUUUUGCGCUCUAAAUUAGCGUGGCGAACAACGGAGCUCAUUUUCUAUGGGUGUAACGAUUAAACGUGCACGUGCGGAAACGACGAUUUUACAGAAAAUUUGUUCCGCCUCUUUAACUCAUAUACACCUAGGUAGGAACCAAAAACGAAAAUAGGUAGGAACUUAAAACUGACGAAGGUGCACAUAAAUACAUAGACGGGCAAAUUUUGUUUGUUGUAAAUGUAAAAUCAGAAAUACAGUAUAUGUACUGCACAAGCAACUAGAUUUUUCACUCCUGUGUGUGUGUGUGUAUUUAGGGUGAAGGUUGGGUGUACCACAACCCGCUCUGGAACCUUGAAAGCAGACCUCCUCCAUCUCUGACAACAAGUGGAACAAGUGGAGUGAUCACAGGGGACGACUAAAACACCAAUGAAUAGAAUCCAACUUUCCAUCAGCUAAUUCAAUUGGGAGGUGAUGAUUAAAAGGUGUUUUGUUUUGGGGGUUUUUUCUGACCACACGGGGGCCCCUUCCAUCAUCUAUUGUUCCCUGGACAACGUACUGACAACAAUGUCUUAUAAUGACUGUACAGUAAUGUACAGAGCGGUGUAUAGAAAUGUACUAAACAGGUAAUGAGAGGUGGAAAAACUGGUGUUGCAUUAUUCGUUUUGUUGCCAGCACUUUGGACAUGAGCUGACAUGUGUUGAGUUCUUCUGAGGGAACUGCUAAUUUCUAUACAAGCUGUACACUGACUACUUUACAUUAUAUCCAAGCGUACCAUGAAAAGUAAUAUAAUAAAAUAUUUACACAAAUUUUAGGGAUGUACUCACUUUUUUUAAACACAUCUUUGAUUUUUUUUUAAAACACCAUAAAGAUAACUAAGAGAAC